This is a non-coding RNA of Ictidomys tridecemlineatus (thirteen-lined ground squirrel), 706 nucleotides long. Lineage: Eukaryota; Metazoa; Chordata; Mammalia; Rodentia; Sciuridae. The record is from RefSeq and is a predicted model, not a curated record.
GCCAGUGAGGGUCCUCCGCUAGCUGACGCAGGCUCCCUCAGAUCAGCAUCCUCCUCUGGCAGGAUCUGGCUGUGGAAAAGGCCCGAGGCUCUGGGGGCCAGCUAGAGACCCAAGAUGCACCAGUCCUUGGCACAAGGGUGACACACCGUGAGUGCAUAGCCAUGAGGUGGGAAGCUGUGAGAGCCCAGGGGACCUCAGAUCCAGCCACCCAGCACGGAGCCUGGCCCGAGGGAUAAAACACCGGGUGGCAGCCGGGACAGUGACUGGAGGGACCAUCAAUGUCACAAACACAGCCAGGGACCCCAGGGCCCUGGCGUGGGCUCCCCCGUGACAGCCUCAGAGAGUCUCGCUAAGUUCCUGAAGCUGGCCUUGAACUUGAGAUCCUCCUUCCUCAGCCUCCCGCGUCACUGGAAUUACAGGCAAGCGGUGGGCAGGUGGCCAUUGUCCACCAGCACCCUUGGCCCUUUAUGAAUGGUCCAUGGCUGCUCCUGAAGGCCUGGGUGAGCCGUCAAGCAGGGACCCCAGGCCACGGUGCCAGAGCUGCAGCACUCCCGCUCCGACCCUCUACGGGGAAGGUUCGUGCCCCGAGGUCCGCGGAUCUGAAACCACUUGGCCCAUCGUCCACUUGAAGCUCUAAAUUCUCCUCCUCUACUUCACCACUAAAACUCACUGUAAUGAAGCCAAAUAAAAUUAAUUUUAAAAAUCA